GAUGAACGCUGGCGGCGUGCCUAAUACAUGCAAGUCGAGCGAACGGACGAGAAGCUUGCUUUUCUGAUGUUAGCGGCGGACGGGUGAGUAACACGUGGAUAACCUACCUAUAAGACUGGGAUAACUUCGGGAAACCGGAGCUAAUACCGGAUAAUAUUUUGAACCGCAUGGUUCAAAAGUGAAAGACGGUCUUGCUGUCACUUAUAGAUGGAUCCGCGCUGCAUUAGCUAGUUGGUAAGGUAACGGCUUACCAAGGCAACGAUGCAUAGCCGACCUGAGAGGGUGAUCGGCCACACUGGAACUGAGACACGGUCCAGACUCCUACGGGAGGCAGCAGUAGGGAAUCUUCCGCAAUGGGCGAAAGCCUGACGGAGCAACGCCGCGUGAGUGAUGAAGGUCUUCGGAUCGUAAAACUCUGUUAUUAGGGAAGAACAUAUGUGUAAGUAACUGUGCACAUCUUGACGGUACCUAAUAAGAAAGCCACGGCUAACUACGU
RNAcentral lists this ribosomal RNA (496 nucleotides) under uncultured bacterium. Its description in RNAcentral is "partial 16S ribosomal RNA". It matches the Rfam family "Bacterial small subunit ribosomal RNA", at positions 28 to 506 of the family's 1533-position model. The record is from RNAcentral.